Molecule: transfer RNA, 61 nt
Filed under: Doliolum nationalis
Lineage: Eukaryota; Metazoa; Chordata; Thaliacea; Doliolida; Doliolidae
Description: tRNA-Trp
Source: RNAcentral
GUAAAUUUAGGUUAAAAACUUUAAGUCUUCAAAACUUUAGAUGCAGGAGUUGCAAUUUACG